GAUGAACGCUGGCGGCGUGCCUAAUACAUGCAAGUCGAGCGAACAGACGAGGAGCUUGCUCCUCUGACGUUAGCGGCGGACGGGUGAGUAACACGUGGAUAACCUACCUAUAAGACUGGGAUAACUUCGGGAAACCGGAGCUAAUACCGGAUAAUAUAUUUAACCGCAUGGUUCAAUAGUGAAAGACGGUUUUGCUGUCACUUAUAGAUGGAUCCGCGCCGCAUUAGCUAGUUGGUAAGGUAACGGCUUACCAAGGCGACGAUGCGUAGCCGACCUGAGAGGGUGAUCGGCCAAACUGGAACUGAGACACGGUCCAGACUCCUACGGGAGGCAGCAGUAGGGAAUCUUCCGCAAUGGGCGAAAGCCUGAAGGAGCAACGCCGCGUGAGUGAUGAAGGUCUUCGGAUCGUAAAACUCUGUUAUUAGGGAAGAACAAAUGUGUAAGUAACUAUGCACGUCUUGACGGUACCUAAUCAGAAAGCCACGGCUAACUACGUG
RNAcentral lists this ribosomal RNA (497 nucleotides) under uncultured bacterium. RNAcentral's name for it is "partial 16S ribosomal RNA". It matches the Rfam family "Bacterial small subunit ribosomal RNA", at positions 28 to 507 of the family's 1533-position model. The record is from RNAcentral.